AGUGAACGCUGGCGGUGGGCCUAACACAUGCAAGUCGAACGGCAGCACAGGAGAGCUUGCUCUCUGGGUGGCGAGUGGCGGACGGGUGAGGAAUACAUCGGAAUCUACUUUUUCGUGGGGGAUAACGUAGGGAAACUUACGCUAAUACCGCAUACGACCUACGGGUGAAAGCAGGGGACCUUCGGGCCUUGCGCGAUUGAAUGAGCCGAUGUCGGAUUAGCUAGUUGGCGGGGUAAAGGCCCACCAAGGCGACGAUCCGUAGCUGGUCUGGGAGGCUGAACAGCCACACUGGAAAGGGGACACGGUCCAGACUCCUACGGGAGUCAGCAGCGGGGAAUAUUGGACAAUGGGCGCAAGCCUGAUCCAGCCAUACCGCGUGGGUGAAGAAGGCCUUCGGGUUGUAAAGCCCUUUUGUUGGGAAAGAAAUCCAGCUGGCUAAUACCCGGUUGGGAUGACGGUACCCAAAGAAUAAGCACCGGCUAACUUCGUGCCAGCCGCCACAGUAA
RNAcentral lists this ribosomal RNA (506 nucleotides) under uncultured bacterium. RNAcentral describes it as "partial 16S ribosomal RNA". It matches the Rfam family "Bacterial small subunit ribosomal RNA", at positions 29 to 523 of the family's 1533-position model. The record is from RNAcentral.